GGCCCCGACCAAAGAAAGGCAAAAUGCCUGUGCGACCGCCGUCGCGACUCACCGACCGAGCUAUGGUCGGUCGAAGGAUAUUCGGCUUACCACCAUCUAUCACACGAAGCGACCACCGUCGCAUUCACGACUCACCGACCGAGCUACGGUCGGCCGGGAGAUAUUCGGCUUACCACCGUAUAUCACGCGGCGCAGUGUAAGUACCCGACACAAGGGUAUCGGGAUCCGACUUAUCAUCGUUUCUCCGACUAAACGCGUCGGACGAUAUUUGACUG
Molecule: long non-coding RNA, 275 nt
Filed under: Elaeis guineensis (African oil palm)
Lineage: Eukaryota; Viridiplantae; Streptophyta; Magnoliopsida; Arecales; Arecaceae
Description: long non-coding RNA (EGUI_LNC013507)
Source: RNAcentral